RNAcentral lists this transfer RNA (63 nucleotides) under Tenebrionidae sp. 1 ACP-2013. Its description in RNAcentral is "tRNA-Cys". The record is from RNAcentral. Lineage: Eukaryota; Metazoa; Arthropoda; Insecta; Coleoptera; Tenebrionidae.
GGUUUAAGUAGUCAAUCAAUGAUUUCAAAUUGCAAAUUUGAAGGUAAAUUAUUUUCUAAACCU